AUGAGACUCAUGUCCAGGAAGCGCCACCGGCAGCGCCGUCGCCGGAGAACUCGACACGAUGGAUUGAUUGCUUCAUUCUGUAAAAAGAAGUGCUCACUGCGCCAGCAAGAUGAUUAUUCGCAAAGUGCUGCUGGACUAAGACCGGGUCUCGACCUUCCAGAGGACAUAUAUCGACAUAUACAUGCCCUAAUGCCAUUACGAGACGCUGCUCGUGCGGCUUGUGUGUCGCACACAUUUCUGCAAUCAUGGAGACGCUAUCGCAACCUUACCUUAAGUAAGGAAACACUAGGUUUGAAUGUAAAUGGUAUUGAUAAAGAUGAAAUGGCAAGAGAUCUCAUCAGCAAAGUUGACGGUGAUCUCAUCAGCAAAGUUGACGGUAUUCUUAAGAAUCACUCGGGUGUUGGCAUGAAGAAACUAGAGCUUAAUCUCUACUGUUGCCGCAAGGUUGAUCACUGUUAUCUCAAUAGUUGGCUUCGCAUUGCUUUCAGAGCAGGGAUUGAAGAGCUCACCAUGUUGCUGUCUCUUACCAGUGAGGCAAAAUACAACUUCCCAUGCUCUCUUUUAUUCAGUGGGAGUGAAAAAUCAAUUCGGCAUCUUAAGCUCUCCAGCUGUGUCUUUCGUCCCAUAGCUGAGCUUGAUUGCUGGAGAAGGUUGAAAGAGUUGCUGCUGACUAAUGUGCUGAUUACGAGCGAUGAGCUAGAGUGCCUUCUUUCCACUUCUUCCAUGUUGGAGUUACUGUGGCUCUUUAGAUGCAAAGAGAUAGUUCGUGUGAAGAUACCUUGUCAGCUCCAGCGGCUCAGCUUCCUGCGAGUGGGUGAAUGCAGAAAGCUCCAGGAGAUAGAGAGCAACGCUCCAAAUAUCUCGACUUUUGACAUCAGUGGCAGUAACUUGGUAAGGAUUUCAUUUGGAGGCGCAUUGCAAGUAAAGAACAUGAGGAUAUGUUCAUAUCAGCCCAACUUUAUCUGGUACACUCGGACCAAGCUUAUGCCAUCUGUACCGAAUGUUGAAACGCCUUCGCGUAUCCUCGUAUAA
RNAcentral lists this ribosomal RNA (1032 nucleotides) under Triticum aestivum (bread wheat). Its description in RNAcentral is "partial small subunit ribosomal RNA". The record is from RNAcentral. Lineage: Eukaryota; Viridiplantae; Streptophyta; Magnoliopsida; Poales; Poaceae.